UACGGGAGAUGCAAGCGUUAUCCGGAAUGAUUGGGCGUAAAGCGUCCGCAGGUGGCUCAUCAAGUCUGCUGUUAAAGACAGAAGCUUAACUUCUGAGAAGCAGUGGAAACUGGUGAGCUAGAGUAUGGUAGGGGUUGAGGGAAUUCCCAGUGUAGCGGUGAAAUGCGUAGAUAUUGGGAAGAACACCAGUGGCGAAGGCGCUCAACUGGGCCAUAACUGACACUCAGGGACGAAAGCUAGGGUAGCGAAAGGG
This 253-nucleotide ribosomal RNA is filed under the name uncultured bacterium. RNAcentral describes it as "partial 16S ribosomal RNA". It matches the Rfam family "Bacterial small subunit ribosomal RNA", at positions 524 to 776 of the family's 1533-position model. The record is from RNAcentral.